GAUGAUAUGUUAGUCGAAAAUAGUGCGAUUGUGCCUGAGGUGGAUAUGAAAUUUAAGGAUGAAAAUGAAAUUUUCAAGUUUUACAAAAGAUAUGCAUACGACAUUUAUUCCCAGUUAGAAAAAGAAAUUCAAAAAAUGAUGAUGAUGGAAUAUUGAGAUAUAUUACAUUUGUUUAUAGUCGUGAAGGGAAAAGAAUCCAAAAUACGAGCGGUUCUUUCAAGCCAUAAACAACAAUUUAGAGUAGAUGUAAAGCCAGGAUAACUGGAUGUUCAGAUAUUUCUGGUGUAUGGAGAAUUAACAUAGUAAACCUCGACCACAAUCAUAAAACAAGCCCUUCGAAGUCCAGCCUAUAUAGAUGUAAUCGAGAAUUGAGUGCACAUGUGAAACAACGACUUGAAGUAAAUGACUUGGCUGGAAUUCCAUUGCACAAAAGUUACAACUCUACAGUUGUUGAAGCAGGUGGAUAUAAGAAUAUGACUUGCAUAGAAAAAGAUUGUCAAAACUAUGUUGAAAAGGUUAGACGAUUAAGAUAGGGAGAAGGAGACGCAGAAGCGAUACAAUCAUACUUUUCUAAAAUGCAAGCACGGUGCUCGGGCUUUUACUUUAGUAUAGAUUUGGAUGAAGAGUUGCGGUUAAAAAAUGUGUUUUGGACAGAUAACAGGAGUAG
This 667-nucleotide long non-coding RNA is filed under the name Olea europaea subsp. europaea. Lineage: Eukaryota; Viridiplantae; Streptophyta; Magnoliopsida; Lamiales; Oleaceae. The record is from RNAcentral.